UACGUAGGGUGCAAGCGUUAAUCGGAAUUACUGGGCGUAAAGCGUGCGCAGGCGGCUUUGCAAGACAGAUGUGAAAUCCCCGGGCUUAACCUGGGAAUUGCGCUUGUGACUGGCGUGCUGGAGUGUGGCAGAGGGAGGUGGAAUUCCACGUGUAGCAGUGAAAUGCGUAGAGAUGUGGAGGAACACCGAUGGCGAAGGCAGCCUCCUGGGCCAGCACUGACGCUCAUGCACGAAAGCGUGGGGAGCAAACAGG
RNAcentral lists this ribosomal RNA (253 nucleotides) under uncultured bacterium. Its description in RNAcentral is "partial 16S ribosomal RNA". It matches the Rfam family "Bacterial small subunit ribosomal RNA", at positions 524 to 776 of the family's 1533-position model. The record is from RNAcentral.